RNAcentral lists this ribosomal RNA (463 nucleotides) under uncultured bacterium. RNAcentral describes it as "partial 16S ribosomal RNA". It matches the Rfam family "Bacterial small subunit ribosomal RNA", at positions 28 to 507 of the family's 1533-position model. The record is from RNAcentral.
GAUGAACGCUGACAGAAUGCUUAACACAUGCAAGUCUUUGGCGAAGCUGUGCUUGCACAGCCUAGCCAAGGCGGACGGGUGAGUAACGCGUAAGGAACUUGCCCUGCAGUCAGGGAUAACAGACGGAAACGACUGAUAAGACCUGGUAAAGUCAGGCGGACUCAUGUCCAGCCUGAUGAAAAGAGAUGCUGCAGGAGAGCCUUGCGUCCUAUUAGCUUGUUGGUGGGGUAACGGCCCACCAAGGCGAUGAUAGGUAGCCGGCCUGAGAGGGUGGACGGCCACAAAGGGACCGAGAUACCGGCCCUACUCCCUCCGGGGGCAAGAGGUGGGAAAAAUUGGCCAAUGGGGGAAACCUUGACCAACAAAUCUUGGGUCACGAUUGAGGGUUUCGGAUUGUAAAGUGCUUUCAGCAGGGAAGAAAAAAAUGACGGUACCUGCAGAAGAAGCGACGGCUAAAUACGUG